ACUCAGAUGAAAAGCCAAAGCAAACAGCCAAGCCAAGCGGUCAUUUCGCUGGCAGGCAGAGAGGAGACAGGGUCUGGGACUUGUCUCAUCUUUAAUAUAUAACAACUGCCCGUGCGGAGUCAACGCACUUCGGGAAUGGUCGCAGGCCAAUCACUACCUUGUGUUCAUAUUGCGUAACUCAAAUGAAACGCAAGCUGAUCCCAGCCAAGCGGUCAUUUCCCUGCCAGGCAUAGAGGAAACAGGCCACAACAUGGGUCUAGGACUGAUCUCUGAUGAUUAUUAACAACUGGCCCUGCGGAGUCAAUGCACUUCUCCUGUACUUCGGCCGACUAGGUUCCUGACACCGGCCAGUAUCCAUGCCCACCAUGACGGCACAAUCUGGCCACACAGAUAAUCAUGGCCAACCGCAGCGGGGAAAGUCGUCAGAGACCUUCCACGGGAAGCUAAGCAAGGCAAGCUGUAUUAAUGGAAGAAACCGGAGAGGACGUCCGUGUGGGGGACCGAGGGACGCCAUAUACAACACCCUGAACAGUGUCAUCUGUAGGACUGAGAAGUCCAUAAGAGGGAAAUACUUUUAUUAGACCUAGAGCAUAGCCGCCACCAGGCCUUCCUAAGGGGGGGUCGUUAUCAUAGAAUUCCUCACAAAAAUCGGGAAAUUGGCCAAAGAAGUCAGUACACGCCGCUAAGGUUAUGGUUACUCCUCUGGCUACGCGGCCGACCAAACACUCUGGUAGCAAAAUUCCGCUUCAAAAUUAUUCUCUACAUUCAGUGUAGUCAGUCUGGUAUAGGCUAAUAGCAGUAUGCAGCGAAACGGUUGGGCUGCUACAACCAAAGGAAGCCUGGGACCAUUCACGGACGGAGAAUUCAUGGACUGGCGUAUAUGUGCUCUCUGAGUUAUUGGAUUUAUACGAAUAUGUAUUGUCUACUCUUUUAUGCAUUGUAGGGUGUAACUUCUUCAUUGUAGGCUGUAUACGUAAAUCAAAGAGUAUACAAUUAAGGUAAUUAACCUCGCCGACGACGGUCCAAGUCAAAGCGGGGAUAGAUGUACAUUUUGGUACGAAUACCCAUACAAAUGUGCUGUACAAUUAUUAUGCUUGCAGUAAAAUUUGAAACCGUUACUUUAAUACUUGCAAGUUUGCAACCCCACUUAAACGUGGGACGGUUGUAAUUGUUAUUGUUGUACCAUGAUUGUUAUCCUUUGACGGUUAUUAAUUUAGUUUAAUGAAGUGUACUGCAGUAGAGACAUUAAGUCACCGAUGUCGUGUGACAGUUGUACAGCUGUCUGUCACGUAAGACAGAUCAGAUCGUAAAAUAGAGACAAGAUAGUUCAGUUCAGGACAGCAAUAGAGCACCUCAGUUAAGUCCAAAGUGAGGCAACAUUUUGUAGUCAUAGCCAGUCCGCGUAAUAAGUCCCCCCGUACCCAGUGUACGGGAAUCCUUGUCUCUGCGUCAUUUCUUUAUCAUUGAUGUGCUGAUCUUCAUAUCGGCAUAUAAAAGAACCUGUAUCUAUAUACAGGUUAUGUGUCCAUGA
Molecule: long non-coding RNA, 1531 nt
Organism: Branchiostoma floridae (Florida lancelet)
Lineage: Eukaryota; Metazoa; Chordata; Leptocardii; Amphioxiformes; Branchiostomatidae
Exons: 3
Source: RefSeq, a predicted model, not a curated record